This 494-nucleotide ribosomal RNA is filed under the name uncultured bacterium. Its description in RNAcentral is "partial 16S ribosomal RNA". It matches the Rfam family "Bacterial small subunit ribosomal RNA", at positions 28 to 507 of the family's 1533-position model. The record is from RNAcentral.
GACGAACGCUGGCGGCGCGCUUAACACAUGCAAGUCGAACGGAAAGGCCUGCUUUCCCUUGUGGAUUGCGGGUACUCGAGUGGCGAACGGGUGAGUAACACGUGAGUGAUCUGCCCCCAACUUGGGUAUAAGCCUGGGAAACUGGGUCUAAUUCCCGAUAGGACUGCAGGGUGGUGCCUGUGGUGGAAAACGAUUUUCUAGUGGGUGGGGAUGAGCUCGCGGCCUAUCAGCUUGUUGGUGGGGGAAUGGCCUACCAAGGCGGCGACGGGUAGCCGGCCUGAGAUGGUGGACGGCCACAUUGGGACUGAGAUACGGCCCAGACUCCUACGGGAGGCAGCAGUUGGGAAUAUUGCACAAUGGGCGGAAGCCUGAUGCAGCGACGCCGCGUGGGGGAUGACGGCCUUCGGGUUGUAAACUCCUUUCGACCGCGAGGAAGCCACCUGGUUGGAAGGGUGGUGACGGUAGUGGUAGAAGAAGCACCGGCUAACUACGUG